RNAcentral lists this ribosomal RNA (510 nucleotides) under Nakazawaea molendinolei. RNAcentral's name for it is "eukaryotic LSU rRNA". The stretch from base 122 to 275 matches the Rfam family "5.8S ribosomal RNA". The record is from RNAcentral. Lineage: Eukaryota; Fungi; Ascomycota; Pichiomycetes; Alaninales; Pachysolenaceae.
UGGAUGGGGGUAAAAGCUCGUCUGCCAGAGGUUUAACCAAAACUCUAACUUAAAAACUUGAUUUUUUAAAUUGUCAUUUUUGAAAUUUGUCUGAUUAACUUCGGAUGAAACAAAUAUUCAAAACUUUCAACAACGGAUCUCUUGGUUCUCGCAUCGAUGAAGAACGCAGCGAAUUGCGAUAAGUAUUGUGAAUUGCAGAAUUUCGUGAAUCAUCGAAUCUUUGAACGCACAUUGCACCCUGUGGUAUUCCACAGGGUAUGCCUGUUUGAGCGACAUUUCUCUCUCAAAACGCAAGUUUUGGUGUUGAGUGAUACUCGGGUUAAAUGGCUUGAGUUUGCUUGAAAAGUAUUGGCAAGGGAAGUGAGACUUCACUACAGCUGUUUAUUCAAUGUAUUAGGUUUAUCCAACUCGUUGAUUGACAGGUGGAAUGAGAUUUUGCUAAUAAGCCCGGCCUUACAACAAACAAACCCAAGUUUGACCUCAAAUCGGGUAAGAUUACCCGCUGAACUU